UGAGGAAUAUUGGGCAAUGCCCGCAAGGGUGACCCAGCAACGCCGCGUGGAGGAUGAAUGUCGUAAGAUUGUAAACUCCUGUUAGAGGGGAAGAAUAGUACCGGUUGGACCGGUAUAUGACUGUACCCUCAGAGAAAGCCCCGGCUAACUACGUGCCAGCAGCCGCGGUAAUACGUAGGGGGCAAGCGUUGUCCGGAUUUACUGGGUGUAAAGGGCGCGCAGGCGGGAUAAAUAGUCAGUGGUGAAAUCCUACAGCUUAACUGUAGAACUGCCUUUGAUACUUUUAUUCUUGAGUUCGGGAGAGAGUGACGGAAUUCCAGGUGUAGUGGUGAAAUACGUAGAUAUCUGGAAGAACACCAGUUGCGAAGGCGGUCUCUUGGUCCGACACUGACGCUGAGGCGCGAAAGCGUGGGGAGCAAACA
RNAcentral lists this ribosomal RNA (422 nucleotides) under uncultured bacterium. Its description in RNAcentral is "bacterial SSU rRNA". It matches the Rfam family "Bacterial small subunit ribosomal RNA", at positions 355 to 774 of the family's 1533-position model. The record is from RNAcentral.